GAUGAACGCUGGCGGCGUGCUUAACACAUGCCAGUCGAACGGGAUCCAAGGGGUGCUUGCACUUUUUGGUGAGAGUGGCGAACGGGUGAGUAACACGUGAGUAACCUGUCCUUUUCUUUGGGAUAAGCAUUCGAAAGGGUGUUUAAUACCUUAUGUUCUGUCUGCCUCGCAUGGGGUGGGUGGGAAAGGCUUUGGCCGGAUUUGGGUGGGCUCGCGGUCUAUCAGCUUGUUGGUGGGGUGAUGGCUUACCAAGGCUUUGACGGGUAGCCGGCCUGAGAGGGUGGUCGGUCACAUUGGGACUGAGAUACGGCCCAGACUCCUGCGGGAGGCAGCAGUGGGGGAUAUUGCACAAUGGGCGAAAGCCUGAUGCAGCGACGCCGCGUGGGGGAUGAAGGCCUUCGGGGUGUAAACUUCUUUUGCUCUGAACAAGGCAUGCCAGUGGGUGUGUUGAGUGUAGGGGUUGAUUAGCGCCGGCUAACUACGUG
Molecule: ribosomal RNA, 485 nt
Filed under: uncultured bacterium
Lineage: Bacteria
Description: partial 16S ribosomal RNA
Rfam family: Bacterial small subunit ribosomal RNA
Source: RNAcentral